Cercophora newfieldiana is the source of this 94-nucleotide non-coding RNA. NCBI's taxonomy places the organism in Eukaryota, Fungi, Ascomycota, Sordariomycetes, Sordariales, Lasiosphaeriaceae. The record is from the annotation of a GenBank genome assembly.
GGUUGUGUAGUGUAGUGGUUAUCACUCUGGAUUUUGACUUGGUUCGCGCCUGUUCAUAUUUCCAGUAACCCCGGUUCGAACCCGGGCACGACCU